Molecule: long non-coding RNA, 486 nt
Filed under: Carica papaya (papaya)
Lineage: Eukaryota; Viridiplantae; Streptophyta; Magnoliopsida; Brassicales; Caricaceae
Description: long non-coding RNA (CPAP_LNC003693)
Source: RNAcentral
AAGCUUGAAUACAAUUUUUCUUACGGGAAUAAUCCCCGGUGGCAUGAUAUAUCACUAACUGGUUUAUCCUUGGAAAUACAAUGGGGUCCCCCAUUCUAACCUCUAUCAGGCCCAUCAUGGUUGAAACUAAGUCUGGUGAAAGAGGGGCUAGAUUGUGCUAGGGGUGGACCGGAUGGCCCUGUGGUGGUAAUGGAUGACACGGGAGAGGCACCGGAUUAUACUGUGGUGGUGCUGGGUGAUGCGGUUGGGGCACUGGACCAUAUUGUGAGAUGUCAGAUGAUACACCGGAGACGGAGGGUUGCAUCGAGGUAGUAUUAGAUCCUCUUGAAAUGCCCCGUCUCAGGCUGCCCUGUUCCAUAAGGGGCCUCAUCAUCUUGUGUCUCCGUACAUUAUGUUUCACAACGAACAAUUUAGUGAUGAUUUAUUAUUUUUGGUAUUUCCUAAGGGUUUUGUGUAAGGGACGGGUCCGAGGAAUGCAGCUCUGAU